UCUAAAACGCCUUUUGUUGCCUGUCU
RNAcentral lists this non-coding RNA (26 nucleotides) under Mus musculus (house mouse). Lineage: Eukaryota; Metazoa; Chordata; Mammalia; Rodentia; Muridae. The record is from RNAcentral.